GUUGGAGCCUGAUGAGCCUUGAGCCUAAGGCGUGUCUGAAUAAUUUUGUACUAUGCCCACAGAAUUCAUUGUCAGAAUAUUUUCUACUGUUACAAUAUUUAUUCCCUUGUGUUGAAUGAUAGGAAUAAGUGUUUGUUGUGUACAAGUUAAUUGCAUAUACGAAUGGGAGAAGUAAAUAAUUGUUUACCUACAAGAUUAAAAGAUAGCAUCUCUUCGUCUUUAGUACCAUUGAUGCUUGAGCAUAUUAUUUCUACCUAAACUCUCCAACACACAUACACCUUCCAAAACCACUGGCCUAGUUCCAGAUGGCUUAAAAUAGAGCAUUUUGAAGUAUGUGCAAAGUCAUUAAUUUUUACUUUUCAGUUAUCCUUUAUUUGUUUAUUGGAUUGUAGGAAUUGCUUUGA
RNAcentral lists this unclassified non-coding RNA (404 nucleotides) under Hevea brasiliensis (rubber tree). The record is from RNAcentral. Lineage: Eukaryota; Viridiplantae; Streptophyta; Magnoliopsida; Malpighiales; Euphorbiaceae.